Long non-coding RNA from Pogona vitticeps (central bearded dragon), 1521 nucleotides. RefSeq lists it as uncharacterized. Lineage: Eukaryota; Metazoa; Chordata; Lepidosauria; Squamata; Agamidae. The record is from RefSeq and is a predicted model, not a curated record.
GGGAUAGCCCGCAAGUAGCCGCUUCGCCCACGACCCCCGCUCCUCCGGGUUCCUGUUCCUGGGAGGAAGUCGGGCAAUGAGUGGGUGCGAGCAGCCGGAAGUGUGGCGCUGCGCAAAAGCGAACCUUCCUGCCUUCCCUUAACUCUUCGUUGCGACGCGUGGAAAAGGUUUGCCCGCGGCCGCGAUGGUUGACACCGGGCGAAAGAAACGAAGUGGCGGAUCCCGACACCCAAAAACACCGCCGGGCAGAGGGAUCCUGCUCAAGGCCCCCGAUCCUUCUGUCAGCACUGGGCGUCCGGCGCGUGGAAGUGUCACUUUUGGACCGCCGUUCCCAGAAUCCCAAGCCAGCGCCUUCGACCUGGUCCCUCGGCUUGGUCCCUACCUCGCAGGGUUGUUUUGGUGAUAGAGAGAAAGAGGAGAGCUCAGUACGCGCCACCUUGAGCUCCCUCGACAAAGAAGUAAAAUAAGCAAAUGUAACAAACAAAUGAAGAGUACCUGGAAAUGCCCGGUGCUAUGUGCAUCUAGAUAUCUACAGUGGAUUCAAUAAGAAUCUGAACCGUCAACAUCAGAGGCUCGAAUCUCGCUAUAGCAGCAGUUCUGGAGGAUCAUAUGAAGAGGAAAAAAAGACAUUGUUCUUUGAUUCUCUUAAUAAUGCAUAUUUUGAUAGUUGAUGACACACACAAGUAGUGUUAGCUGAAAAACUUUGCUUGAUAUUUGCUUGCUGUGCGGCCAGCGUCAUGCUGCUUCAUUGGGUGAACCAGCCAUCAAAUGUUCUGGUUCCUCCCUCUUGUCUUCCAGCAUGUGUACAGAUGGACUAGCACUUAUGUGUUUGUAAAAUAUGCUGUGUUCUAAGCAUCUUUUCUCUAGCUGCAGAAAUCUAGAACGUAAAACAUCAUAGCUCUUUCCAUGGUGUGAGUUAGCACUUGAUUUCAAAUCAAGAACCAGGAGAAGUCUGAGAAAAAUCCAAAGCAGAUGAUUUAGAGACUGGGUAGAGGAGCUUCCCCUCCAAAAGGGGAAGCUUUUGGAGCUCCUGAAGUGGUCUUGGGCCAAUCCUAUGUGGAUUUAUAGACCUGGUGGCUUGAAAUUCUAACUCAGCAGAGUUAAGAAUUAUUGGAAGAUACUGGAAGAAUUAAAUUCGGGGAAAUAGACACUGAAGAAACAUAGUGGUCACUGAAAGAAGUGACAGGAUCAGUUUUAAAGCAUUUCCUGAGGUAAAUGUUUCAAGGUACAGUAAUUGUAAGGAAAUACAUAUAUUCCCAAAAGACUAAAAAGUCAAAAAUAGAAACCCAAAUUUGCAACAAAGGCUAGCUCCCCACAGAUGCUGCUAGUAGCAAUGGUGGCAUUGAGAGGUAGCCAGCCUAUCCAGGUGGGUCUGAAGGAGGAGGUGCUAGACGGGUGGUAGUGGGGAGUCAUUGCAAUGUGACCGUUGACUUGGCAAGUGGCAAUGUAACUGAAGAACAGCUUAUGUUGAAAUCUUUUUUCCCUUAAAAAAUGUUACGUUGUAAAUAAAGAGAAGCUGUU